Molecule: long non-coding RNA, 824 nt
Organism: Lotus japonicus
Lineage: Eukaryota; Viridiplantae; Streptophyta; Magnoliopsida; Fabales; Fabaceae
Exons: 3
Source: RefSeq, a predicted model, not a curated record
UUGGCUUUAAAGUGAUGGACACAUUUUGAGAUUAUAGAGGUUAAGGUGGAUCCACCGCACUCCUCUGUAAUCUUUUAGUGUGCUCCAAUUGUGCUCCAAUUCUUUAAAGUGAUCAAACAGAGUGCAAAACCAUAAUCCAAUUCUUUAAAGUGAUCAAACAGAGUGCAAAACCAUAAAAAUAGUUUGAAGAAUUAUAGUUAACAAGACUACCAGAGGCAAAGCAUGGAUAGUGAUGUGUGAUGUUGUUUAUUUCCAAGAAAUGCAUGAGGCUCUUCUUUUUUCAACAAAGUAAUUUAGUUUUCUUGGUUCAGCUUCUCGAACAAUUGGACGGUUUGAUCAUUAUUUUUAAGGAGCAUCCUACCUAACUCUUCAAAACAAUGGUAGCAUGUAAUCGUAAAGUGACAUGUAACCCCAUAUCUAGUGAACAUGGAAGAAAAGAAACAACAAUUGUGAUUCUAUUCCUAUCUGAAUGACAGGUUUGAUGGGUAAAUCCAUCAAGGCGAGACUUUGAUUAUGCUCUCAUAUGUUGAUGAAAAUGUUGCAAAUGUUAUGAGUUCGCCCUUCAGAAUUUGGAGUGCCAGUUUAUGAAUCAGGGGUUUAACUAGUGGUUUUUCUCCAUUAGAAUUUUCAGCAAGGAAACAUUAGAAAAUCAUGACACUAGCAAAUAAUACAAGUACAGGAUCGGUUCUUGGCAUUCAUGAUCUGCUAAAUAAUCAAUGUUUAUGAGCACGCUUCCUAACAACUUGAGCAAGUUGAUAAUAUUAUUUCACAAGAACCAACGAGAAAAUAAAACUGAGACUAAGCAGCAAAAGAUUGAUGAUUUU